UGGUAAAUUCUCUCUUUAUUUCAUAAAUGAUGUAAACAUGGAUCAGACUUUCAUUGUCCUCCUUUUUCCACCCCAGAUACUGCCUAUCAAUCAAGACUCUUAUUCCCAAGGAGUUCUGAUAUGACCUCAGAAUCUUUUUCAAGCCAGCAUUCCAGGGGUUAUGACUCAUUCAUUGGGACUGGAUGGUAGGAUAAAAAAAUUAUCCACCAAACUUAGAGUAGAUUAUUGACUUUAAUUAUUCAUGCCUCUUGAGUAAUUUUCUCAGUAGUGGCUUCACAUGAGGGUCACUGUGUGAUCUUUUGAAUGUCAGAAGGCACAACUUUUGAGAAGCAGCUUGAGUUGAUAGACGCCUGGGUGGGAGUCGGGCAUCGACUCCUAAUUUGGCCAUUCCACUAUGUGUUCUUAACAGAACAGCUCCAUGUUCUGCAUUUUCCACAUCAAAAUAGUUUUAAAUAGUAGGUCUCAGGUCAGUGAAUACUUUUUACUUAGAAAAUAGGGUGAAUGUUAAGGCGAGUGUAUUCCCUAUAAAAGCCUCAGUCUCCUUAUGUGAAAGAUGGAAAAUCUGAUUUCUUUGAAGAUGCCUCUAAAACAAGAGCCUAUGGGAUCUAGAAACGCCCUUGAUAUCUGUCACCAGAAAAGAAAACAUCUGAUGUUGCCAUCGUAAGAGAAAAGAACAACUCCUCCUGAAACCUACAUUUCCGCAUAACCAUGACAACGGCAUGAAACAUGUAGGGAAGAGGGGCGUGGGAGGGCAGCGAAGGCUACUGUUUGUUCAGUGCCCUCUGGUAGCAGACACAGCCCUGGUACUCACUGCCUCUCUGAAUUUUCUGAAGGACCCUGUGAAGUAUGUAUUAUUAUCCUCAUUUCUCAGAUGAAGAAACUGAGGCUCCAAAGACUGAUGGGGGCAGUUCAAGAUCACAGGGCUGGUAAAGGAUGGACUGUCCUGCCAGAUGCCUAUGGCCAGGGUCCUUUCACUGCUGCCCACUGGCAAUGCUUGAGUGUGAAAGCUUAAGGGCACGACAUUUUGUCUUGGAAUGUAUACUUGAAUGUUGUGUUCCACUGUGGCCCUAAAGUUCUUGGACAAAGAUGUAAAUCUCUGAGUUCUUUUAAAGCCGCGUGAGUGUACUAGACAGUGUGAUGAGCAAGCUGGAAGUGUACGCCAAUCACAUGGAGGAGGUGGUGGAAGAGAGGACCAACCAACUGAUGGCCGAGAAGAGGAAAGUGGAUCAGCUUUUAUCCACAAUGCUGCCCAGCUUCACUGGAGAACAACUUGUAGCAGGAAUGUCCGUGGAACCAGAGCAUUUUGAGUCGGUGACAAUCUUUCUCUCUGACAUUGUUGGAUUCACAAAACUCUGCUCUCUCGGCUCCCCCCUGUGAAGCUCCUUACUGACCGGUACAGUGUAUUUGCUCACAUCAUUAAAACUCAUGACGUGUAUAAGGUGAGACACCUGGUUCCCGGGUCGUGGGGGUGCACAUGAUCCUUGUAGCUGUCCCCCCCUGGGCGUGAAUGGAGAUGAAUCCAGCCCAAGACAUCAGUCAGGAGGAAGGCUCUAUUUUAGGCUGGCAGUCUAUCUCAAUUCAUGGCAGAAACUCAAUAUUUGAUUCCUGUUUGUUUUCUUGGAGAAGGGCUUGAUUCAUCACAGGUGUAGGUGCUUGUCAAGAAUCAUCAGCUGUUCCCUCUGUUCCUUUCCAUUAUUUUAUCUCACAGUAAACACAUUUCUAAAACAGGCAUUGACCUUCUACUGGCUAAUUCCUCCAGUUCCCUCCUGAAUAUAUAUUUUUUUCAUAUUCAGAGAGGCUCGCAUUUAGUUUCCUUUAAAGAUUGUCUUUGAAUCCGUUGUGUCUCACUUCUUUUACUGUGAUCUUUAGCAAUUCAAGCUUAGAUUAUCAGACUCGUGCCUAAAGAUCAGAUAGUAACUACCUGACUAGUACUACUACUCUGGAGAUGUAUGAACAAGGUCACCUAGAAUGAAAGAGGAGUUUUGUAGGGGAAGAGAACAAAAACUGACAAUUUGGCCUCAUUCAUAAUGACAAGGCCACCUUAUAUGUUUUCUGGUGGGGCCAGGUGAUGACUCCAGGACGCCCAUGUUCACACACACCAGGUGGGCAGCCACAAGCUCAUCAGCUCUGACCUCUGAUUGCAGGGCUCUCUGCCUGUGGUCCUGGAUCAGGAAGACUUGGGGCAAUGUAAUCAUGUCCUCUGGCAACACAUCCUCAGUGGUGUUCCCCCAAAGUUCCCCAAGGAUGUAGCCCCAACUCAAGAGUGGAUGGAAGGAUAGUAUGGAGAAUCACAAAGAGCAGAUCACAUUCACCCAACAAAAACAGAAGCUGCUCUGCUUCGAAGAUCCUCCUCUGGGAUCGUCUCUUUGUGUUUUCUUCUCAGCUAUGUUUUGCCUGAACUAAUGUUCGAAUCAGUUUGUGUUUCUAAAGGAUAUGCCCACGGUGGGGUGAGGUAGCCUAGAAGCAGUUCGACUUGUGUGCUUGUUGAUUUGGGUAAUUUCAGUGUCACCAGGAGGCAGACGUGUUCUUACUGCCUGGCUAAGGCCUGAAAGUUCACCUUUACCAUCAUCGUUGGAAUCUGCUGGAAUGCAGAUGGAUCUGAAAGGAGCUGUAACUUUAUUCUUACACUUGUCAUUUAUUCUCUCUUGUGAAUGAAGGAUCUGAAAGAUGAUUUUAUUAGGAGGAUUAGGGGAAAAGAAGGUGGAUGCCUACAUUUAUAUAUUUUGUGUAGUAUAAACGGAUGCAUAGUGGUACCUAAGAGCCUUUACGUGGAGUGAAGAUUUUCCAGGUUGGAUAAGAUGAAUGGCCCUUGAUGGCUCCUGGUGAUCUUUCAAGUCUCAAGUCUGAUGAGGUGAUCUGUGCCUCAUCAAUGUAUUGCUGUCUGCCUAACUAGUUUUGAACCUGGGUUGGGGGAAUACGGUCACCGGCAGUGUCAGAUUUCAGAAGGGAAAGCCGUGACUGUGGGGAAGAGGGCCAGGGGAGGAAGGUUUCCUGGAGGAGACAGGACAAGGGCAGGACCUUGAGGAAAUGCGAGGGCUUGGAUGGGGUGGAGGUCACGGAGUGCGACCCCUCCAAGGAUGGGGCCCAAAGCAGGAUCAGGAACGAGGGGCCUUACCUCACACUCAUCCCCUCACUCCCAGCCUCCCUUGGGAAGAAAACAAAGCCGCUUUCUUCCUUUGUUUUCAGGCUGAAACCAUUGGAGAUGCAUACAUGGUGGCUAGCGGACUUCCCAUCCGCAAUGGAAUCCGACAUGUGGAUGACAUUGCCAUGAUGUCCUUGCACUUCCUUGGUGCCACCAUCCACUUUCAGAUGGGCCACAUGCCCGAGGAGAAGCUGAAGCUCUGAAUGGCCUCCACACAGCUCUCCAGAUCCAGGUCUCUCAGAGCACUGCAGUCAUCCUGCUGGCGUUGGGAGGGUACGCUUUGCAAAAGAGAGGCACCAUUCCAGUCAAGGGCAAAGGAGAACAAACCAAGUUCUGGCUGAAGGGCAAAGAAGACUUCACUAUUCCACUCCCCGAAUUUGCUGAGGAAGAAGCUGAAGUCCCAGAGAUCUUCUGAGAGUCCUGUGGCCUGGUGCAAACCUGGAGUUUGAUGAACUGGAUACAGUGAACUCAUUUCCUGGGGGACCAGGGCUGCUGCUCCCAGACCUGCCACGCAAUAAAUGUGGGUUUGUCAUUGACAGAGGAGAUGGUCUUCGUGGCGGAGCUGCAGCUGCCUGCCCAGCUCUCCCUUAUAACACAGCGCAAACCCCCAGCAUCACGAUGAGGUGAUAGAGCACAUCUGUGGACCAGACAGGAGAGGAGACAGAAACAGUUCCGCAAGGAGCAAGGAGAACUCAGCAAAAGCGUCAACAUCAAAGAGUCCACUCAAGGGUGUUGAGUGGGUUUUCACAAAGCUCUGCAUGUUUUGUUCGUAGUCAGAUUGUUUCAUCCUCCUGGCUUUCCAUAGCUCACCUUCAUCAGUGCAAGAACCCAACAGAGGAAGCUCAGGACAUGGAACUCUGACAAAUGGGAACCUGAACUUAAAUAAUAUAGUGAUGCUGCUUUUCACUGUAUGAUGUUAGCUGUAGAACUUCCUUUAAGAAUGAGAAUCUGAGUAUCAUAAGGAAUUGGUUUGCAUGAUUUCCUGUAAUUGUGAGAGCAAAGCCUACAUCUGUGAGUUUACGAAUAAAUAGAACUGUCCUGCCCAUCUUCUCGCAUAGCUACCUCCUCCUCCUCAUUUGAUGAGAUCUUCUCCCAAGAGGUUUCUUGGGCUGCUGUCUAAAUCACUAUUCAGCUCCCACCCACCCCACUUCACACAUAUCAGGAAGGGCAGGAGCCCUGUUUGCUUUGUUCACUGUGAUAGUCACACCACCUAGAAGAGUGCCUGGCACAGAGUCAGUAAUUAUGGUUGAUAUUUACUGGAUGUUUGCUGCAUGCUGAGCAUUGGUUAGGGCUCUUAGCUGUAAUAGUUAAUCCACACAACAACUUCUGUGUAUGAGAUGGGCAAUAAUUAACCCAGCUUCAGAGAGGAAACUGGGGGAUGCACGGGUGAGGUAAUGGCUCAAGGUCACUCAGUUCAUGACAGCAGGGACAGAAGGGACUAGAAAUAUUUGUUGAAUGAACAGAUCAUUGAAAACUCAAGCUCUCCAAAUGCAGAAACCCCAAAGAAACCACCUGGUGAUAUCUUUGCUCAGGCUUGGUGGGGCUGGGGGUAGGGAUCCCAUUCUGCUUCAUCCAACUUGCCCCCAGCUCCUCCCUCCCUUCCAAGCUCAGGGGCUGGUUGGAGAGAGACCUCUACCUCCAGUCCCCCUCCACCUCAUUCAGAUGUGCUUUAAAGUAUACCUUUUAAUUCUUAAGGGACCAAAGGUAAGCUUCUUUUAAAACACACAGGAAUUUGCUGUAUGGCUCAGGAAAUUCAAACAGG
Molecule: non-coding RNA, 4904 nt
Organism: Odocoileus virginianus texanus
Lineage: Eukaryota; Metazoa; Chordata; Mammalia; Artiodactyla; Cervidae
Source: RefSeq, a predicted model, not a curated record